AAACUAUCUAUGAUGAUGUUCAUCUCUGGACUCCAACUCCCUAACAUUGUGUACAAUAUCUUGGAUCUUCUUAGACAGAGAUUGAUUGUGCUCCUCAAUGUGCUCAAAAAUCAUUUCCAAAUGCCUCUUAUAUGUAGCAGAUCGCUUUUUCUCAGCUGCCAGUUGUUGAGAUAGCUCCCGGAUUUUGUCAUGCUCGUUCGGGUAUUGAUCAUAGAUCAAGUCCCUGCGACCUUUGCCUGGGCACAAUGGAUGAGAGUGCUCCUUGACAAAUUUUGUG
RNAcentral lists this unclassified non-coding RNA (277 nucleotides) under Hevea brasiliensis (rubber tree). Lineage: Eukaryota; Viridiplantae; Streptophyta; Magnoliopsida; Malpighiales; Euphorbiaceae. The record is from RNAcentral.